GAACUUGAUUUGGAAAACGAGUACUGCUAAUCCUCUUACCCACAGUUCAAUUCUGUGGCGAGUUUA
RNAcentral lists this transfer RNA (66 nucleotides) under Breviceps poweri (Power's rain frog). Its description in RNAcentral is "tRNA-Ser(AGY)". The record is from RNAcentral. Lineage: Eukaryota; Metazoa; Chordata; Amphibia; Anura; Brevicipitidae.